Molecule: unclassified non-coding RNA, 234 nt
Filed under: plant metagenome
Description: partial contains small subunit ribosomal RNA, internal transcribed spacer 1, and 5.8S ribosomal RNA
Source: RNAcentral
UUUCCGUAGGUGAACCUGCGGAAGGAUCAUUAAAGUUAUAGUCCCCCGGCCCUCUGGGCUGGGGUCUUCUAUACCACCCUUUGUUUAUUACACCUUUGUUGCUUUGGCAGGCCUGCCCUCGGGCUGCUGGCACCGGCCGGCUCGCGUCUGCCAGAGGACCUAAACUCUGUUUGUAUAUGAAGUCUGAGUACUAUAUAAUAGUUAAAACUUUCAACAACGGAUCUCUUGGUUCUG